GACGAACGCUGGCGGCGUGCCUAACACAUGCAAGUCGAACGGAGUUGUUCCUUCGGGGACAGCUUAGUGGCGAACGGGUGAGUAACGCGUGAGGAACCUGCCUCUCAGUGGGGGACAACAGUUGGAAACGACUGCUAAUACCGCAUAAUGUUUUCGGACCGCAUGAUCUGAAAACCAAAGCUUUAUGUGCUGAGAGAUGGCCUCGCGUCUGAUUAGCUAGUUGGUGGGGUAACGGCCCACCAAGGCGACGAUGCGUAGCCGACCUGAGAGGGUGAUCGGCCACACUGGGACUGAGACACGGCCCAAACUCCUACGGGAGGCAGCAGUGGGGAAUAUUGGGCAAUGGGCGCAAGCCUGACCCAGCAACGCCGCGUGAAGGAAGAAGGUCUUCGGGUCGUAAACUUCUAUCCUUGGUGAAGAUAAUGACGGUAGCCAAGAAGGAAGCCCCGGCUAACUACGUG
RNAcentral lists this ribosomal RNA (461 nucleotides) under uncultured bacterium. RNAcentral's name for it is "bacterial SSU rRNA". It matches the Rfam family "Bacterial small subunit ribosomal RNA", at positions 28 to 507 of the family's 1533-position model. The record is from RNAcentral.